UCGGUGCAUCGUCAUCAUCAUCAGUGGGAUACAUUAGUGAUUGAUUAGGAUAUUUUCUGAUUAAACAUCAGUGAUUGAUUAAGAAAAAGAAGCUUCGAACAUUCCUGCUACAGAAAAUCUCAAGGACUUCACACUGCCGCGAAAAAAGAAAAAAACCAUCGGUUAUGGUCUAUGCAUUGCCAGAAAAUACAAGUUAAGAAGAACUCGGGUGCUAAUCACGUGCACAAUUUUGCACCUUGCCGGCCAUCCCGGCCAUCAGUGUGAUUAUUCAUGCCCAUGUAUAUAAGCACAAAACUUCUGCGAGAAGUUUUAUCAGUGCAGCAACGAAUGCCAGAACAGAUUUCCUGAGUGUAGGUGCAAGGCGCAAUGCAAUACAAAGCAAUGUCCUUGUUAUCUGGCUAUCAGGGAAUGUGAUCUGGAUCUUUGCCAAACAUAUGGUGCAGAUCAUUUCCAAAUCAAUUCUAAAUCUUGAAAAAAUGUCAGCGUGCAACAUGGUCUUUAUAACUUGAAAUAUACUUUAUACAAUUUGGAAGAUCAGCAGCAAAGAAUGAAUUCAUCUCAGAAUAUUGUGGCGAAAUUCAGUCAAGACAAAGCUGACAGGAGGGGAAAAGUAUAUGAUAAAUAUAUGUGUAUUAAUCU
Harpegnathos saltator (Jerdon's jumping ant) is the source of this 639-nucleotide long non-coding RNA. RefSeq lists it as uncharacterized. The record is from RefSeq and is a predicted model, not a curated record. Lineage: Eukaryota; Metazoa; Arthropoda; Insecta; Hymenoptera; Formicidae. The transcript is spliced from 3 exons.